RNAcentral lists this transfer RNA (76 nucleotides) under Trichococcus shcherbakoviae. Its description in RNAcentral is "Trichococcus sp. ART1 tRNA". It matches the Rfam family "tRNA". From Rfam's summary of the family: Transfer RNA (tRNA) molecules are approximately 80 nucleotides in length. The record is from RNAcentral. Lineage: Bacteria; Bacillati; Bacillota; Bacilli; Lactobacillales; Carnobacteriaceae.
UGGCGGUGUAGCUCAGAUGGCUAGAGCAUCCGGUUCAUACCCGGAAGGUCAUGGGUUCGACCCCCUUCGCCGCUAU